AGAGUUUGAUCCUGGCUCAGGAUGAACGCUGGCGGCGCGCCUAACACAUGCAAGUCGAACGGCACCCAUCUUCGGAUGGAAGCGAGUGGCGAACGACUGAGUAACACGUGGAGAACCUGCCCCCUCCCCCGGGAUAGCCGCCCGAAAGGACGGGUAAUACCGGAUACCCCGGGGUGCCGCAUGGCACCCCGGCUAAAGCCCCGACGGGAGGGGAUGGCUCCGCGGCCCAUCAGGUAGACGGCGGGGUGACGGCCCACCGUGCCGACAACGGGUAGCCGGGUUGAGAGACCGACCGGCCAGAUUGGGACUGAGACACGGCCCAGACUCCUACGGGAGGCAGCAGUGGGGAAUCUUGCGCAAUGGGGGGAACCCUGACGCAGCGACGCCGCGUGCGGGACGGAGGCCUUCGGGUCGUAAACCGCUUUCAGCAGGGAAGAGUCAAGACUGUACCUGCAGAAGAAGCCCCGGCUAACUACGUGCCAGCAGCCGCGGUAAUACGUAGGGGGCGAGCGUUAUCCGGAUUCAUUGGGCGUAAAGCGCGCGUAGGCGGCCCGGCAGGCCGGGGGUCGAAGCGGGGGGCUCAACCCCCCGAAGCCCCCGGAACCUCCGCGGCUUGGGUCCGGUAGGGGAGGGUGGAACACCCGGUGUAGCGGUGGAAUGCGCAGAUAUCGGGUGGAACACCGGUGGCGAAGGCGGCCCUCUGGGCCGAGACCGACGCUGAGGCGCGAAAGCUGUGGGAGCGAACAGGAUUAGAUACCCUGGUAGUCCCAGCCGUAAACGAUGGACGCUAGGUGUGGGGGGACGAU
Molecule: ribosomal RNA, 806 nt
Filed under: uncultured bacterium
Lineage: Bacteria
Description: bacterial SSU rRNA
Rfam family: Bacterial small subunit ribosomal RNA
Source: RNAcentral